RNAcentral lists this ribosomal RNA (253 nucleotides) under uncultured bacterium. Its description in RNAcentral is "partial 16S ribosomal RNA". It matches the Rfam family "Bacterial small subunit ribosomal RNA", at positions 524 to 776 of the family's 1533-position model. The record is from RNAcentral.
UACAGAGGUCCCAAGCGUUGUUCGGAUUCACUGGGCGUAAAGGGUGCGCAGGUGGGUUGGCAAGUUUGACGUGAAAGCCCCGGGCUUAACCCGGGAAUGGCAUUGAAUACUGCUGAUCUGGAGGAUUGGAGGGGGGACUGGAAUUCUUGGUGUAGCAGUGAAAUGCGUAGAUAUCAAGUGGAACACCAGUGGCGAAGGCGAGUCCCUGGACAACUCCUGACACUGAGGCACGAAAGCUAGGGGAGCAAACAGG